RNAcentral lists this ribosomal RNA (253 nucleotides) under uncultured bacterium. RNAcentral's name for it is "partial 16S ribosomal RNA". It matches the Rfam family "Bacterial small subunit ribosomal RNA", at positions 524 to 776 of the family's 1533-position model. RNAcentral also lists the same sequence under 1 other name. The record is from RNAcentral.
UACGAAGGGGGCUAGCGUUGCUCGGAAUUACUGGGCGUAAAGGGAGCGUAGGCGGACAGUUUAGUCAGAGGUGAAAGCCCAGGGCUCAACCUUGGAAUUGCCUUUGAUACUGACUGUCUUGAGUAUGGGAGAGGUAAGCGGAACUCCGAGUGUAGAGGUGAAAUUCGUAGAUAUUCGGAAGAACACCAGUGGCGAAGGCGGCUUACUGGCCCAUUACUGACGCUGAGGCUCGAAAGCGUGGGGAGCAAACAGG